This 499-nucleotide ribosomal RNA is filed under the name uncultured bacterium. RNAcentral's name for it is "partial 16S ribosomal RNA". It matches the Rfam family "Bacterial small subunit ribosomal RNA", at positions 30 to 523 of the family's 1533-position model. The record is from RNAcentral.
AUUGAACGCUGGCGGCAUGCUUUACACAUGCAAGUCGAACGGUAACAGGGUGCUUGCACCGCUGACGAGUGGCGAACGGGUGAGUAAUGCGUCGGAACGUGCCGAGUAGUGGGGGAUAACGCAGCGAAAGUUGUGCUAAUACCGCAUACGUACUGAGGUAGAAAGUGGGGGACCUUCGGGCCUCACGCUAUUCGAGCGGCCGACGUCUGAUUAGCUAGUAGGUGAGGUAAAGGCUCACCUAGGCGACGAUCAGUAGCGGGUCUGAGAGAAUGAUCCGCCACACUGGGACUGAGACACGGCCAGACUCCUACGGGAGGCAGCAGUGGGGAAUUUUGGACAAUGGGCGAAAGCCUGAUCCAGCCAUGCCGCGUGUCUGAAGAAGGCCUUCGGGUUGUAAAGGACUUUUGUCAGGGAGGAAAUCCCUAGUGCUAACAACACUGGGGGAUGACAGUACCUGAAGAAUAAGCACCGGCUAACUACGUGCCAGCCGCCGCCGUAA